Molecule: non-coding RNA, 70 nt
Organism: Podarcis lilfordi (Lilford's wall lizard)
Lineage: Eukaryota; Metazoa; Chordata; Lepidosauria; Squamata; Lacertidae
Source: the annotation of a GenBank genome assembly
GACAGUAGAUCAGUGGCAGAGCAUUUGCUUUGCAUGCAAGAUGUCCCAGGUUCAAUCCACGACAUCUCCA